AAUAAGCGGAGGAAAAGAAACCAACAGGGAUUGCCUCAGUAACGGCGAGUGAAGCGGCAACAGCUCAAAUUUGAAAUCUGGCCUUUGGCCCGAGUUGUAAUUUGUAGAGGAUGCUUUUGGUGCGGUGCCUUCCGAGUUCCCUGGAACGGGACGCCUUAGAGGGUGAGAGCCCCGUACGGUUGGACGCCUAGCCUCUGUAAAGCUCCUUCGACGAGUCGAGUAGUUUGGGAAUGCUGCUCAAAAUGGGAGGUAAAUUUCUUCUAAAGCUAAAUACCGGCCAGAGACCGAUAGCGCACAAGUAGAGUGAUCGAAAGAUGAAAAGCACUUUGAAAAGAGGGUUAAAUAGCACGUGAAAUUGUUGAAAGGGAAGCGUUUAUGACCAGACUUUUUCCUGGCGGAUCAUCCGGUGUUCUCACCGGUGCACUUCGCCAGGUUGAGGCCAGCAUCGGUUUUCGUAGGGGGAUAAAAGCUUUGGGAAUGUGGCUCUUCGGAGUGUUAUAGCCCAUUGCAUAAUACCUUUAUGGGGACCGAGGUUCGCGCUCUGCAAGGAUGCUGGCGUAAUGGUCAUCAACGACCCGUCUUGAAACACGGACCAAGGAGUCGAACAUUUGUGCGAGUGUUUGGGUGUUAAACCCUCACGCGUAAUGAAAGUGAACGGAGGUGAGAGCCUUUAGGUGCAUCAUCGACCGAUCCUGAUGUCUUCGGAUGGAUUUGAGUAAGAGCAUAACUGUUCGGACCCGAAAGAUGGUGAACUAUGCGUGGAUAGGGUGAAGCCAGAGGAAACUCUGGUGGAGGCUCGCAGCGGUUCUGACGUGCAAAUCGAUCGUCAAAUCUGCGCAUGGGGGCGAAAGACUAAUCGAACC
Molecule: ribosomal RNA, 863 nt
Filed under: Dactylaria monticola
Lineage: Eukaryota; Fungi; Ascomycota; Leotiomycetes; Helotiales
Description: eukaryotic LSU rRNA
Rfam family: Eukaryotic large subunit ribosomal RNA
Source: RNAcentral